AGCGUAUGAUGAGCUCUGGUUGAAUUGACGUCAUUUAUCUCAGACUCAACCCAAUACUUCUCCCUCCCAUUGUAAUCUUGGUGAUAGUUGUUUUCUAGACUUUCACCGUAAGGCCGAUGGGACAGUGUUGACACACUCAUUAGUUUUAGUUGUGCUAAAAGAAAUUAGUACUUCACCUAUGAAGUGUCAAACAGGCUUUAAAUUCUGGGUGUAAGUGGGCAGGGUUUCAUUUUUUGCUAAUGGGAGACAUUGGGUAUGAUAUCUGACUCUUCAGCUUGCAAGGAUUCUACUUUAGUAAUCUGAAGCUC
Thrips palmi is the source of this 308-nucleotide small nucleolar RNA. NCBI's taxonomy places the organism in Eukaryota, Metazoa, Arthropoda, Insecta, Thysanoptera, Thripidae. The record is from RefSeq and is a predicted model, not a curated record.